GAUGAACGCACAAGACGUGCCUAACACAUGCAAAUCGAAUGAAAAUAAUUAAUUAUUGUUUUCAUGGUGAACGGGUGAGUAACACAUAAGAAUCAGCUUUUAGAUAAGGCAUAAAAGAGUAAUAUCUUGGUAAUUCCUUAUAUGCGCAGCAGUGCUUAAAAAGGGGAGUCCCGUCUAAAAACGAGCUUAUGCCUGAUUAGCUAGUUGGCGAGUUAAAAGCUCACCAAGGCGAAGAUCAGUAGCUGGCCUGAGAGGGCGGCCAGCCACAUUGGGACUGAGACACGGCCCAAACUCCUACGGGAGGCAGCAGUGGGGAAUCUUCUGCAAUGGGCGCAAGCCUGACAGAGCGGCGUCGUGUGAAGGAAGAAGGCCUGAAAUAGGUUGUAAACUUCUUUUACUGAGUAAUGAAUAAUGACAACGCAGUAAAAAAGUAUCGGCUAACUCCGUGCCAGCAGCCGCGGUAAUACGGGGGAUGCAAGCGUUAUCCGGAAUCACUGGGCGUAAAGCGUCUGUAGGUGGUUUAGUGUGUUCUUAGUUAA
RNAcentral lists this ribosomal RNA (539 nucleotides) under uncultured candidate division CAB-I bacterium. Its description in RNAcentral is "bacterial SSU rRNA". It matches the Rfam family "Bacterial small subunit ribosomal RNA", at positions 28 to 598 of the family's 1533-position model. The record is from RNAcentral.